Non-coding RNA from Cordylochernes scorpioides, 7285 nucleotides. The record is from the annotation of a GenBank genome assembly. NCBI's taxonomy places the organism in Eukaryota, Metazoa, Arthropoda, Arachnida, Pseudoscorpiones, Chernetidae.
UGAGACAUUGCAUAGAUCCUGAAUCAAUGUAUAGAGCACUGGGGAAAAUAGGUAAAUAAAGACCAAAAAUCAAAAUACUUAAUUAUAAAUAUUUUAUUAGUGAACAACUAAUACAAAAAAAUCCUUUCAGGUGAGAAACUAUGUUGUUGAUGUUUCUUAUCCCCUUGUGUAAAGAUUACACGAAUUCCAUGAUCUCAUGGAAUGGGGUAUAGGGGUGCAGCUUUCGUUGAUCAUGGCACCAUGAUCCAGGCACACUUUGGUGAAAGUCUGACUUUGCCUGUGAUUUGAGGCCAUUCCAAAUAUGGAAGCCUUUGUUUCUGACUCUAACAUGAGCACAGACGCAGCUCCUCCGUAUCCCUGGAGUGGAACCAUUGCUGAGGUCCAUCAACUGGGUCAGUUGAACUCAGGAUUUUUAAAGAGGGAGUGUCCCUCCUGGUUACAGCAUCAAGUCUACCAGAACAAGACUUGAUACAAUCGUGUAGAGAGUUUACUGUACCUCCCAACAAUGUCCACUGCACCACAGGCCAGUUACAGAGGGGUAAGCAUGGGAGGUGUGAGAAACUAUAGGCAUUGGUUGAUGAGGCACAAUUUGGAUUGUAGAUUAUAAACAAAAGGUAAUAAGACCAAAUCCAAAUAUAUAAAUAGUGUGUGACGUUUCGGUAACAGCAUUGUUACCAUCUUCAGACAAAAGUACUGAAUGGAAAAAAGGAGCCUACAGCACCCGGUGUUCCCAGGUGGUCACCCUCCCAAGUACUGACCGAGCCCGACGUUGCUUAACUUCGGUGGUCGGACGAGAACCGGUGUUUUCAACGUGGUAUGGCCGUAGGCCAUAGUACUUUUGUCAGAAGAUGGAAACAACGCUGUUACCGAAACGUCACACACUAUUUAUUUAUUUGGAUUUGGUCUUAUUACCUUUUGUUUAUAGGCAUUGGUGAAACUUUAAACAAAUUUUUUGGAAAUGAAACAAAAAGUAAAAGAAAACAAAUCUUAAAAGAAAAUUAAAUACAACACAACAAUAUACCAAAUUAGACAACAUAAAAGGCAUACAUUCAUUUAUUUGAAAUAAAUAUCCAAAUAAAUAAAUAGUGUGUGACGUUUCGGUAACAGCGUUGUUACCAUCUUCAGACAAAAGUACUGAAUGGAAAAAAGGAGCCUACAGCACCCGGUGUUCCCAGGUGGUCACCCUCCCAAGUACUGACCGAGCCCGACGUUGCUUAACUUCGGUGAUCGGACGAGAACCGGUGUUUUCAACGUGGUAUGGCCGUAGGCCAUAGUACUUUUGUCUGAAGAUGGUAACAACGCUGUUACCGAAACGUCACACACUAUUUAUUUAUUUGGAUUUGGUCUUAUUACCUUUUGUUUAUAGGCAUUGGUGAAACUUUAAACAAAUUUUUUGGAAAUGAAACAAAAAGUAAAAGAAAACAAAUCUUAAAAGAAAAUUAAAUACAACACAACAAUAAACCAAAUUAGACAACAUAAAAGGCAUACAUUCAUUUAUUUGAAAUGAAAAAAAAAAUUAAAAGAAAACAAAUCUGAAAAUAAAAUUGAAUACAACACAACUAUAUAGCAGAUAAGACAACAUAAAAAGGAAAAAUUCAUUUAAAGGACCUCAUUAAAAACUAUAUUUCUAGUUUUAUAAAUACGUGGGUUCAACUUUACCCGUAUGCUAUUCAAAGUUCGCACACGUGAAAAAGCCACAUAGAGCUGUCCAUGAGUAAACACGGGCUCAUGUAGCAAGAGACCCACUCUAGCAAAGGUUUGGCCUUGAGCCUUAUUAAUAGUCAUGGCAAAAGCCAACCUUAGUGGAAACUGACGCCUCUUCAGAAUGAAGGGAAGGUUGGUAUCUGAAGGAGCCAAAGAUAUUUUUGGCACCAAUACAGUUUGUCCAACUUUGGUCCCUGUCAGUAUUUGUGCUUCUAGGACAUGAGAGCGCAUGCGCUGGAUAACCAUACGUGUGCCAUUGCAGAGACCCUGCUUAGGAUUCAAAUUUCUAAGGAGCAUAACAAUAGCACCAAUCUUAAGGUUUAACCGGUGUGGAGGCAUUCCUGUGGGAGUAAGGCUAUUAAGGAAUUCAGUAGGGUAAUUAUUUUGUUCCUCCACAUUCUCACACUCGACACUGUCAACACUGAGAAAACACUGACUCCUGUUUGGUAAGCGAUCCAAAACUUUUUCAUUAAUCUCUAAUGAAUCUGUGUUUUUUGGCGUUAAAAUCACAGACUGGCUAAGGGCGGUAAUAUCACCAUAGGAAGAACCAAAUAUUUCCUGCACCAGGUCAACCCCAUGAAAGAUACAGCUUUCUGGAAGAGAAAUGAGGCCCUGUUGGUCUGUAGGUAGAUUACCAUCACCAACUUUAAGUAACCAUUGAGAGAAGCUCUGUGCAUCAAUACCUGCUCGCAUAUUCUGAGUAAGGCGCAAGAUCACAAACAAUGGCCAUAGCUUGCUUUGCUUAAUGCAAGCAGCAACAAUUUCAGCUCUUGAAGCUCGAGGUACCACAGGUAGCACUUGGCGAAAGUCACCUCCAAGAACAACAACCUUUCCGCCAAAAGCAAGGUCACAAUGCAUAAUGUCCUUUAGGAGACGAUCCACAAUUUCAAGUGCUCUGUAGUGGGCCAUAGGAGCCUCAUCCCAAAUAAUUAAGGAUGAUCUACGAAUAAGCUCAGCCUCAGAACUAUUGGCCGAGAUCGCAGCUACAGAAUUCUCAAGCAAGGGAAUCGGCAGCUUAAACCUGGAAUGGACAGUCUGGCCACCUGACAAAAGGGUAGCCGCUAUUCCAGUGGAGGCCAGCGGAAUGACAAUUUUUCCAACGGCUCUAACACAAUGAAUUAGGGUGUUAUAAACAUAAGUCUUGCCCGUACCACCAGGCCCACCAAUAAAAAAGCAACGUGGAUUUACAUUGAGGGAAUCAACAAUUGUGUCAACAAUUGACUUUUGAUCUGGUGUAAGGGACCUAUACAUUUCUGUAUCACCGGCAGGAAAUAAAAGAGGGUAUGUCAUUGGGUCACAGUUAGGAUUAAGUGGAGAAAUACGCACUAAACCACAAUCAUGCGGAAAAACAGCAAUAUCUCUGUUAGAAGGUACAUGGCCAUCUUGAUCAACAAAAAUGGCCGCAACUUCACUUACACUUGGGGCAUUAUAUCGGCGAAGAUCUCUACAAUGAUUUUGCCGGAUGAGCAUCUGAACCUGACACAUUUGCCGGUUCUCAAUGCGAGCCCGGUGUUCCUCAGCUAGUUCCACCUGGUGCAUCUGCCUAUAAGCAGAAGUAUACGGAUUCACACGCCUAAGCACAGAAUCCAAAAGAGUCAAUAUACCAGGAUGGCAUUCCAAAGGCCUAGAUGCUGCAAUGCGUGUAUUAUUCGCAGCCUCAGAAUCCAAAAUAUAAAGUUGGGCAUAAGACGGGGCUCUGUUUCCAUGAGGAUGAAGGGGCCCAGUCAAAUGAUAGAUCUGUCCAUGGAUUCUAUAACAAAAAGGCCCCUGUCCAGAAAAGACAUCAACCUGCGCACCCAUGGAGGCAAAUGCCAAAGAGCUGUUGUAGCUCCGAAUGUUGGUCUGGAAGUACUUAGCCUCCACACUGUUUGAAGUCAUCAAUUCCAUCAUUUCAUAUGGAAAGGAGGACAAAGUAGGAAGAAUAACUUUCCCUUUGUGGCAGCAGGAGCUACCAACAGUUUCGCCAGGGAAAUGAAGGGCUGAGCAGUAAGGGCAGACUAUAUCGAGGCCCCCAAUAAUAUAUUCAGUGGGAACAGGAGAAAUAGGAUUAGGGGCGUUGUUCCCGCGGCGAGUCCUAUAAGCGAGUCUUCCACGGCCUCUGCGAGGCAUGAUACAGAAGCCGCUGAAAAAAAAAAAGCUAAACCAAAAACCAAGUUGAGCAAAUACAUGUCAAAAUAAAUUUAAUGUAAAAGAUCUCAAUAUAAACAACAUAUUAAAUUGCACAGUGCAAAAAUGUAGAAAAUUGUAUGUAUCAUAUAACAUUUUAUCAUAUAACAAAUUAAGUAAUCAACAAUUGAUUAUAAAAAUAAAUAAUUAGCCUCUUAUUGAGAAAAAUAAAGAUGCCAAAGACAUUAUGAAAGAUACUGCAAAAAAGAAUUAUGAAAGAUACGGCAAAAAAGAAAACCAGACACAAAAAAUUGAGCAAAAUGUAAAAUUAAAAACUAUAACAAAGAACCCACAAAUUAAUUUAAUCAGAAAUACAAAAAAGACGCUGAAAAAAAAAGGUAAAAUAAGAACCAAGCAGAGGAAAACUAUAAAACUGAAAGCCAGGACAGGCAUAAAAAGAAAAUUCCAAGCAAGUGAGGAAACAAUUGAUGAAAAAAAAAUGUGCAAAUAAUAUGUAUAUAAAAAAGCAAAGCCCAAUUCUAAACCCAAAUAUUUUUUUUAUGAGAAGAACAUCAACAUAUUGAAUGAUUAUGGCAGUCCAUAGCUUCCCUGACAAAAAUUCACCAAAAAAGUUAAAUAUUCCAAAAUAAGUAAGGCACUUUUGCAGCCCCCCUGACAAAAAUUAACUAAAAGAGUUAAGUAUCCAAAAAAAUAUUUUGGUAUACAUAUUGCUAAAUGUGUAACAAACAUGUAUAUGAAAAAGCAAAGCUUAAUUCUAAGUUUUAAUAUUUUUUUUCAAUAUACAGAAGAAAUAAGACACAAAAAUGGAGCUAAAUUCAAAUGAAAAACUAUAACAAACAGUUAUAAAAGAUAAUUAUUAUAGAAUAAAGUAAUAAUUCAAUCUACAAAUCGAAAAAUGUAUAUAUUUAAAUGAAAAACUAAGUUUCAAUAUUUUUUUUAAUAUACAGAAGAAAUAAGACACAAAAAUGGAGCUAAAUUCAAAUGAAAAACUAUAACAAACAGUUAUAAAAGAUAAUUAUUAUAGAAUAAAGUAAUAAUUCAAUCUACAAAUCGAAAAAUGUAUAUAUUUAAAUGAAAAACUAUAACAAAGUACUUACAUAAGCAAAUUAAUCAGAUAAUAAUCAGAUAAAUCAAAACACAUUUCUACGGAAUUUCAAAACAAAUGAUUGAUGAUGAUAAAUGCAAAAAAUCUACGAUUGUAAAAUAGAUUAAAUUAAAAAAUAAAAAUAACUGUUAACAUUAGGAAAAUAAAAACAGGCCUAUGACACGAAGAAAAAAAUAACGAAAAUUUUGGUAUAUAGAUUGUUAUGUGUAGUUCAGAAUCUUCGGAGGAGAUAGCUCAGGACUUUACAAUGGAAAACUCUGUUACGGUAUUAUCUAUAUAGAUAUUGGAUCAAAAUAUCAUUUAUUUUACCAAUAUUUCAGUUGGCUGAACUCCAACCUUUAUCAAGGUAUUAUAACAUUAAUAUGUGUCAACAACAAUCUCAGCGCCACAUAACGUCAAUAGAAUUAAGUUUUAAAAUAUUUUUGAUUUAUAUUCAAUGGGGAGAAAAAAAUUAUAUAUAUAUAUAUAUAUAUAUAUAUAUAUAUAUAUAUAUAUAUAUAUUUAUAUAUGAAAAAACGAAAGAAAAAAUAAAAGAUAAAAAGGUCAGAUGUUGAUAUCAAACAUAAAAAUGCAUAUUCUGACCAGAAGCACAUGUGCUUUACAGAAGGCAGAGCGCCAUCUGGUGGAACAGAAAUCAACUAAACAUUGGCCAAAUAUCAGGGAACAGGUUAAAUCAAUGUUUAGUUGAUUUCUGUUCCACCAGAUGGCGCUUUGCCUUCUGAAAAGCACAUGUGCUCCUGGUCAGGAUAUGCCAUUUUUAUUUUUGAUAUAUAUAUAUAUUACUAGCGGAUGUGUACCCGGCUCCGCCCAGGUUUUACCCGAGUGAAAGUUUGCCUAACGAAUAUUAUAUAUUAUGAAGUUUAAUAAACAAUGUUAAAGAUUAGUUUUAAUUAUUAAUCAAGAUUGUGUGUGAAAAUGUGAGAAAGAUGUAAUAUCGUUGUUGUUUUCUUGGCCGACUGUUUUACAUAUGGUGUUAUCUUAAAAUUGCUUGUUUUGAAUAUUUUUUUAGAUUGAGUUGAAUGAAUUGCUGAAUUUUUUUUGUAUUUAUAUAUAAAUAAAAUUAACUCUGUUGAUUUUUUUUAGUAUUUAAUCGAUAACAGCGAAGUUACGCAUGUUAAAGUUAGGAAAAAUAUUUUGAUGUUAAGCAAAACCUGCUCCAUCUCGUUUUACAUAAAUGUUGAAAAUUUGGUCGAAAUUGAUGCAUUGUAACGAAAGUUUUUAGCGAACAACACUUAUGAAAUUUGCAUUUUAUUAAUAUAGAUGGACAAAAAUAAAUUUUGUAAAAUAAGGGUAUGAAUAUUUUGAAUAUUAACAAUAACGCCUAUAUAUUUUAUAUUUAUAAUUAUUUGUACUAUGUGUAAAAAGAUAAUAAUAAUAUCUAUUACUUUAGCUGUGAACAGUCUGAUGCACGAGAACACAUGCCAAAAACAAAAGUUUUCCAAUUAUUCUGUAUAAAUAUUAUUUAGAGAUUGUACAUAGAAUAUCAGUCCGUUGAAGAAGAACAGUAUAUUUGCUUGAAAGCUUGCAAAUUCAAAAUUAAAAGUAACAUUUUACCUUAUUUUUAUUUUUCCUCUUUCAAAGAAUGAGAGAGAGUAAAAAAAAAAUAGGCCAUAAUUGUCCUACAGAUGGCGCGCUAUGUAUAAAAGUUUUGUUUUUUAGACACGUAAGAUUCUUUUUAAAUUAAACAAUAUCUACUGACCUUACUGCAAUGGAAAAAUUAAUGGGAGUGCCUGGCUCAUCAGUGGUGAACCCUCUCAGCGCUUUCACCAGUUUAAUCUACCAUACCGCUGUUAUAUUGCAUUUUUUUCCGAUCUGAGAGGGUUCACCACUGAUGAGCCAGGCCCUCCUAUUAAUUUUUCCAUUCCAGUAAGGUCAAUAGAUAUUGUUUAAUUUUAAAAAGAAUCUUACGCGUCUAAAAUAGUUUCGAAUUUUGAUAACAGAUGGCUCGCUAGUGAAUCGUAAUGUAUAAAAGUAUUGGAGAAAGAUUUUCAAUGAAAGAAUUCCACAAGUUGGCGUAGUUUGAAUAAUUCAAGACAUUCUAAGUCGGGUUGCCUAAAAUCAUCACAAGAAAGUUUAUACACAACUUACCCUGGAGCUGCAUGGAAUUCCCAAUUUUCUCUUCGAAUGUUUAACAUGUCUUCUCAUAUAUUGAACUUCUGUGAAUAUUUUCUUUUUCCAAUCCUCCACUAAACAUAACUACCUCCAUUCCUGAUAAAAUUGUGAAAAAAAGUUUUAAAAUUACAAAAUAUUCUCUCACAAUGAGUUUUUUUUUUUUAUUACCAAACGCUAGCUUUCAAGUGAUAAUCUCUCUUCAACGGGCUUAGUAAAACAUCGACUAUAUCUUACAAG